UUAUACAUUCUCCAUUUGAAAACGGACAGGUUUCCACCUGCAGAGGACCUGAAGUGCUUUAAAUUUGCCAGGGUCACCGUGUGGAAGAUUGCUGCUCACCUGGUUCCCUGAAGGUGUGAAUGACCUGGCGAAUUCCUGCAUUCUGUGUGACGCCCUAACUAGUAAUGUCAUGCCCACCACAAAAGUCCACUGGAAGUAGUCGUGGGUAUAUGCAAUGUAUCGGGCUGGAGCUGAAUGGCUGGUUAGCAACAAAUGGGAUAAAAAUCUGCAACCCAGACAGAGCAUGGUAGCUGCCAAAGAGGCUGGGAUCCACCACAGGUCUAAACAGACAAUGCAGACAAACAGUGGAAGAAAGGAAGUAUUGUUAUGCUUAUUUUACAUUGGGGAACUGAAACACAGAGAGAUUAAAUGAACUGCCUGAGGUCACCCAGGAAAGCUGGAUUGGAGCCCAGAUCACCACAUUUUCAAGCAGCUUCUGGGAUCUGCCCUCUUGACAGACUGCUUCAAACCUUAACCAGCUUCACAAUGGGGAGCAAUGAGGAGCUGUCAGACAGAUGUGCAACUAUGGGGAUGAAGCUUGAAGUCUUGACUCAGGCCCCAAUCCAGGAACUGGAUCCAUUAUCCGAGGCGAGGGAUCUAUAAGUUAAAGGACACCAGGCCAAUCUGCAUGCCCAAAGCUGGAAACAGAUCUUCUACUCUUCUGUUGUUUUAGUUUCUUGCUUUUUUUUGACCCACAAGACUUUCCUUCAGUUACUGCUAUGUAG
Molecule: long non-coding RNA, 764 nt
Organism: Mauremys reevesii (Reeves's turtle)
Lineage: Eukaryota; Metazoa; Chordata; Testudines; Geoemydidae
Exons: 5
Source: RefSeq, a predicted model, not a curated record